RNAcentral lists this transfer RNA (75 nucleotides) under Bacillota bacterium. Its description in RNAcentral is "tRNA-Gln". It matches the Rfam family "tRNA". From Rfam's summary of the family: Transfer RNA (tRNA) molecules are approximately 80 nucleotides in length. Their secondary structure includes four short double-helical elements and three loops (D, anti-codon, and T loops). The record is from RNAcentral. Lineage: Bacteria; Bacillati; Bacillota. RNAcentral also lists the same sequence under 2 other names.
UGGGGUAUCGCCAAGCGGUAAGGCACGGGAUUCUGACUCCCGCAUUCCUAGGUUCAAAUCCUAGUACCCCAGCCA